AGAGAACCAAACUCUCAGGUUGUCACAUCUCUCAGGAGAGGUCCAUGUUAGGCAGUGACUCAAGCGCUAUUCUGAGGACUUCCUUUGCCUUUUAAGACACAAUAGUUUGGCCCUUCCUGUUGUGUACUGCCCUGCCCUGCUAGGCUGGCCGGCUCCUCUGAACUGAAAGAGCACUCACUGGUCUCUUCCCUGCUGCCUGGCUCUCACCGCUCUAGGGAGCCCAAGAGAAGAUCUGAUUGUGCCUGCCUGCCCCCUUUCCUUGUUAUGACCUUGAGAGGCAACAUUGAACAGCUAUUUUGUGCCACUCUGUGCUAGGCACAGGGCUUAAGAAAAGAAUGAGACAUGAUCCCUGCCUUUGAGGAGCUCCUCAUCCAGUGAGUCAAUGAUUUCAGGUUAUGGAUCAUCAAUGAUUGGACCAAGAUUGUGCCCUACCACCUCCAGUAGUCCUCAGCUGAAGAAUCUGUGUGCAGGAUAUAUUUGGAACUUUGAAGACAAGUUUUCUUCGGAUCUGUAUUGGUUUUGCCCGGAAGUCUACAGUCACUCUUAUCUUUGUUCUCCAGUAUGAGCCAAAGUGGAUCAAAACGAACCAAGCAGUCAUAAAGCCAGGAAGAAUGAAAACUCUGUUUCCCUUCUAUCCUGUUGGAGGCCCCUGAAAAAUGGAUUUGGGAAGGCUUGUCACAGGCUUCCACAGAGUUGACUCCAGAUAAUGUUUUCUUUAACCUCACUCAAAAAUACUGAAACCCAAAGGGGGAAAUGAUUUAGAAUGUUAAAAUUUUUUUCAAAUGUUGUAUGCCAAAAAAAUAAUAUGUAGAUGUGUGAAUGAUGUGACUUUGUGUAUAGAGGUGAAUAUAUAAUCUGCAAAUACAGACUCAUAUUAAGUUAAUUAAUAUAAGUAAGACAUGCUUCUCCAUGGCAAUCUAAUUUCAGAAACAGUCAAAAGCUUUAAGACAAGCUCCAUGAUAUUUGGCUCUGAGCCCCACAGAUUUUGUAUAAUAAACUACAACCCUCUCCUUCAUCCCAGGCUUCUCAUUUUCCCUUACAAUCCAGGAUCUUGGCAUAAACCAUCACUCUGUAGUUUUGUUCUUGCUCUGCUGGUACCCACCUCUGGAGUUCUGCUUCCAAGGUUCUACACCACCAUUCCCAAGGUUGGAAGACAAUUACAGUCAUGUGUUGCUUAAGACAGGAAUACUUUCUGAGAGAUGUGUCAUUGGGCGAUUUCUUUGUUGUGUGAACAUCAUAGAGUGUACUGAAGGGGAACAAAACUUAACACCCCAAAAUGUGUCUCUUUAACAUGAGAGUUA
Molecule: non-coding RNA, 1301 nt
Organism: Equus caballus (horse)
Lineage: Eukaryota; Metazoa; Chordata; Mammalia; Perissodactyla; Equidae
Source: RefSeq, a predicted model, not a curated record